This 433-nucleotide ribosomal RNA is filed under the name uncultured bacterium. RNAcentral describes it as "partial 16S ribosomal RNA". It matches the Rfam family "Bacterial small subunit ribosomal RNA", at positions 29 to 507 of the family's 1533-position model. The record is from RNAcentral.
AACGAACGCUGGCGGCAUGCCUAACACAUGCAAGUCGAACGAGACCUUCGGGUCUAGUGGCGCACGGGUGCGUAACACGUGGGAAUCUGCCCUUUGCUUCGGAAUAACAGUUAGAAAUGACUGCUAAUACCGGAUGAUGUCGAAAGACCAAAGAUUUAUCGGCAAAGGAUGAGCCCGCGUAGGAUUAGGUAGUUGGUGGGGUAAAGGCCUACCAAGCCGACGAUCCUUAGCUGGUCUGAGAGGAUGAUCAGCCACACUGGGACUGAGACACGGCCCAGACUCCUACGGGAGGCAGCAGUGGGGAAUAUUGGACAAUGGGCGAAAGCCUGAUCCAGCAAUGCCGCGUGAGUGAUGAAGGCCUUAGGGUUGUAAAGCUCUUUUACCAGGGAUGAUAAUGACAGUACCUGGAGAAUAAGCUCCGGCUAACUCCGCG